Molecule: long non-coding RNA, 218 nt
Filed under: Elaeis guineensis (African oil palm)
Lineage: Eukaryota; Viridiplantae; Streptophyta; Magnoliopsida; Arecales; Arecaceae
Description: long non-coding RNA (EGUI_LNC029063)
Source: RNAcentral
UGUCCUGUGAAAAGUCUCAAAUCCAUCUUCUCUGUAGGUUUUAUUUUUCAUAAAAUAUGAAAAAUAUAUUUACAUAAAAAUAUUUUUUUAUUCUUUCUUCUCCUAAAAUUCUAACUAAAUAAGAGAUCUUUAUUCAAUUCCCAGGAAUCACCUUUUCUCCUUCCAAUAUCCACGGACCAAAUGAGUCGUAAGGGCUUUUGAGUAUUCAUGGCAACCCA